UUUUUUUAAAAUGAGGAGUCCGGCCUGCCCGGUGAGUAUUAAACGGUUGCAACUAGGUUGUACUAAGGUAGCAAAAUCAGUCGUUUUUUAAUUGAAAAAUAGAAUGAAGGGUUAGACGCGGAGCGUCUGUUUCUAGAAAACUAUAUGAAGUUUUCUUUUAAGUGAAAAGACUUAAGUUUUUGUAAAAGACGAGAAGACCCCGUCGAGUUUAAUUUAGGUAGUAAAUUAUUUUACUCUUAUAAGUUUUGUUGGGGCAACACAAGAUGAAAAUUAUCAUCUUUGGGAUAGAGUAUCUCUUAUGAAGAAAAUAGAUAAAACUACCGCGGGGAUAACAGCGUUAUCUUUUUUGAGAGUUCUUAUUGAUGAAAAGGUUUGCGACCUCGAUGUUGGAUUAAAGAAACUUUAUGGCGCAGCAGCUAUAUAAGUGAGACUGUUCGUCUUUUAAUACUUUACAUGAUCUGAGUUCAGACCGGA
Molecule: ribosomal RNA, 474 nt
Filed under: Irus sp. n. YL-2022
Lineage: Eukaryota; Metazoa; Mollusca; Bivalvia; Venerida; Veneridae
Description: partial large subunit ribosomal RNA
Rfam family: Bacterial large subunit ribosomal RNA
Source: RNAcentral